Molecule: ribosomal RNA, 406 nt
Filed under: uncultured rumen bacterium
Lineage: Bacteria
Description: bacterial SSU rRNA
Rfam family: Bacterial small subunit ribosomal RNA
Source: RNAcentral
GUGGGGAAUAUUGCACAAUGGGGGAAACCCUGAUGCAGCGAUGCCGCGUGAAGGAAGACGGUUUUCGGAUUGUAAACUUCUAUCAGCGAGGAAGAGAACGGACAGUACUCGAACAAGCAGCCCCGGCUAACUACGUGCCAGCAGCCGCGGUAAUACGUAGGGGGCGAGCGUUAUCCGGAAUUACUGGGUGUAAAGGGUGUGCAGGCGGCAUUGCAAGUUUGAUGUGAAACCCCGGGGCUUAACUCCGGGCAUGCAUCGAAAACUACAGAGCUAGAGUACAGGAGAGGAAAGCGGAAUUCCUAGUGUAACGGUGAAAUGUGUAGAUAUUAGGAAGAACACCAGUGGCGAAGGCGGCUUUCUGGACUGAAACUGACGCUGAGACACGAAAGCGUGGGGAGCAAACAGG